Peromyscus californicus insignis is the source of this 1215-nucleotide long non-coding RNA. RefSeq lists it as uncharacterized. The transcript has 2 exons. The record is from RefSeq and is a predicted model, not a curated record. Lineage: Eukaryota; Metazoa; Chordata; Mammalia; Rodentia; Cricetidae.
CUCACCCAGCACAGAUACAAUCUGAGCAGUAGCCGGGCAGACAGAGAUGCAGACGGAGCAUCCUGAAUUACAGGGGCAGGGGAAUAGAGACGGAAGGGAUUUCACAAAGUCUACUUCCUUUCUGAGGACAACGUUCGCCAAUCUGUCUGCCCACUCACUAUUUAUUCCUAUUUUUCCCCCAGUAAACUUUAAACUCCUCACAGAAGCUCCUUUUUCUCGAUUUUCUUCAUCUCCGAAUAACCUUCUUGAAUUCUCUCCAUUGUUUCUUUCCAGCAAUGUUCACCCAAGUAGUGAUGGCCAGAACCAAAGCAUGAGCACGUUACCAUGCUUACCAUGAGCACUGCCACAUGUCCCCCGUGGGAUAGGGGUGUGAGGGAUCCACAGCAGCCUUGCUAUUGGGCUUAAAGCUACUGUUGAUACUGGAGGCAUCCCAUCCGAGGGAGUGAAGAUGGCUCUGUAUAGUCCUUUAUGACUCUCCUCACAUAUUCUCUCGUCUCCCGUGUGACUCUGAACCACCCAACUUGUUAGCAUCUUCGUGGAUCCCCAGGGUGUGCGGUAUACUCACUGCAAAUACUGAACAUGGUCCCUCUUCUCAAGAAAUCAAAUAGAGUCGCAUCGGGAUGAACCGGGAGCUCAGGAGGUGCUUGAAGCAGAGUUCAAGAAGGCCGAGACAACUGUGGAGCCGUGGGGAUGGAAGGCAGAAAAUUACCGAAUGUGUGAGGCCGACCGUGGAGAAAGUGUGACUCCGCCUGUGACCCCUGUGACCCCUGUGACCCCUGUGACCCUGCCCUCGCUCCCACGGUGCCAGUGACAGCUCAGGGAGGUUUAGCAGCCACAAGAGAAGACUGUACAUCCUCCUUUCAGAAUAACCCGAAACGUCUUGAACAGGAUGGAUUCAGAACCAUCAACUCUGAAAACAAAACGACUCUGAUGAGAAAGGGCCUUUACUGCCCCCAUGUGGUGAGUGCAGGACAGCGCGGAAGGAAUCAAAUGGGACUCGUUCUACGUUGUAGGAGGCUGGAAGCCAUUCUAGUUGAAAUCGAUGAGAGGGACAUCUUUGGUGAAAUGCUGCCAUCUUGUGGUAACUGUGAGAAGAGCUGUGGCAUUUCCAGGCAUGUGUGGUCAGCUUUGUGAGCCACCUAGACCCUUGAAGUAGGAAUUCAUCCUUAGGAAAACUGUGACUCCAGUUGAAUAAACCUUGGCAUUGGUAUCUUC